UUUAGAAUAUUUACAUCAAAAUCUACAGUUCAAUCAUAAAACGAAAUUAAGCUUGCUCCAAUUUGAGGAUGAUUUAACUAUUAACUAACAUAAUGAUACAUGAAGACAAGCCAUAACAGGUUAAGAUCGAUAAAUUUUACCUCUUCACUGGAAACCAAGCAAAUCCUCAAUAAACUCAACAAGCAAAACAGAGGUAUGGGCGUAUGGUCUCAGCAGGCAAUGGUUAAUUCUAAGAUUCUAGUCACAAUUAACAAAGGCACAUGCCACCUACUAUGCACUAAUUAACAACGCUUAACAAAAGCAUGCUUACCUAGAUGCCUAGAUACAGCAUCCAGAACAUUGGGAAAAACAAAUCUACAUUUCUAAAUCAAUUAAGCAUUCAAAUACAUGCAGAGAAUGAAAAUAGAAGUAACAUAGAGCACUCCUUCGAAAUAAUCCCUGGCGGUCAAGGAUUACUUCAUUUGACUGACUGAACUGCCCCAUUGAACAAUGCGUUGAUGAAAAAUCAGCAGCAAGACAAGAAACCAGAGAAUGUAACUUGAAUCUGUAACGCCUACAGGAAUGGAGACUGCUGCUUCAACUCUAAUAUGGAAGGGUCUCCAAAUGCAAUAUAACAACUGCAAACAAAUUCUACAUUCAUGUUUUUGACCUCUUUUGCUUUUGAGGAACAAAGCGAACUGCUUGCUUCCCCAGUUCCAAUGUUUUUACUCUACCGUCAUCCAGUGUAACAGAUAAUGUUGAAGUGCAUUCAAUCAUGUCGGAGACAGCUCCUUUAUGCCAUGAAUUGUCAGAUGGCUGAUGAACUUCAACUCUCUUUCCAAUUGCAUCUUUACCCAACUUUUUCAAUAUCCAACUAGCUUCCAUCAUCUCACUGUCUCGAUGCGACUGUGUAGCAUCUUCACCUUCAUUAAAAAGUGUUUUCUCCAUCAAGCUUGACGGUCUCUUUCUUUUUGACCUUUGGCCCCUUAUGGAACUCUUUUCUUCCUCAGGUGGAGGCUUUCGAGAAUACUGGUUUAGAAGAUUAGGUUUUUUAAUCUUUAACUUCAAUGAAAUUUUGGAAUCUUUUGGCAGUGAUUGCAAAAUAGGAGUAUCACUAGAAUCAUCAUUGCUUUCGGCAUAUGUCUCAGGUCUGACUUCUGGUUGCUUCCCUAAAGAUACCUUGUUGCUUCUUAAAGCAGAGACUUCACCUACGGGCCCAAUUGCAGUCCCACUUGAAUCAAUGCCUCUUUUACCAGACAAAGCACUUGUAUGUUCUAAACGAAUGGUUUCAUACCCAUCUGCACUCACUCUGUCAAAUUUGGGAUUUAAGUUGGAUGUUUCCGAUUUCACUUUUCCAAACUUAAUAAAAUUUCCCUCUCUUCGUGGAAACUUCAAACUUCUUACUUGGCUAGAGUGAUCAACUGUAUCAACAUCACCAAAUACAGCAGUGCCUUCAUGUCUAUCCCCCUCAAACCUAUCACUCAUUCCUUGUUGGCCUGCAUCUUCACUACCAUUAGAAGUUGUCAAAUCUUGAUCCCUUUGGCAGCUUGAAGCAUCAGAUCUUGGUGAAUUAGUUACAUUUAUUUUUCGCGCACCUAGAUUUAUAACCAACUUCUUUGCCUUCACAGCUUUCAUCUUGUUAGCCUGCUCUUCAGUAUCAUCCCCACUAUUCAUAUCACGAGACUUGUUACUCUUAAUCUUGACAAUUCUAGAUGUCUUCUCUCCAUCACUUACCAUCACUUCAUCUACAAACUUGUGUUUCAAAACAACUGUCUGAUUAACGGAACAAAUUCCUUCAGCAUGGUUCACAAUUCCUGCCACAGGGGAAGAAUAUACAUCUCCCUUUUUAUGAGAAUCACUGUCAUCAUUAUUGUUUUCAUCCAAGCUGUGUCCAAAAGAUCGAACAUCAUGCUGAUGUAGUUCUGUCUUGCUAAUUGAAGACAUCUGAGAACUCUUUUUCUCGGUAGUUUUCUUACUUGAAGAUUUCUUUCCAUGUUCCUUGCUCUUUUUUGGUGACUUAUCAACUAACCCUUUGAGAGAGAGCUUCAGAGAACGUCUAAAUUCAUUCUUUAGCAUCAAUGGACCAUUUUCCUCAUCAUCUGAAUAAGGUGAAAUAGAAAAUAUAUCUUCUUCAGUUGGCAACCCUGCAGCAGCCCUCAAGCUUGCAAUUAAACCUUGAUCAGCUUUAUCACGUCUCCUCCAUAGCUCUUGAACAGCAUCUUCAAGGUCCUUUACCUGGUAACACUCUCCUCGACAUGUGGCACAUUUGUACUGGAGAUUUCCAUCCACUUGAAAUUGCAGAUAUUUUUCAUCACUAAUCCCAUCACAACUGCAGUGCACCCACCGCUGGCAAAUAUCACAGCAAACCAUUGGUGUUGACUCUGAAUCUCUAUAAACCUUUAAACAAACAGGACAAUAAUUUCCCUUCACAAACAAUCUUCCACAAGCAUCACAGCAAGUGUAUCCCAGAAACCACCUCACACUUAGACCAUUUCCAGGAACAGAAGAUCCACAGCUGUGACACCUUGUAUGUUUAGGGCAUAAAUAUGGUCCAGAACUCACAUUCUUGUGCGGAGGAUGUUGGCAGUAACAAUGGUAUGCACCAUCACACCUUUUGCAAAACAUAAACUUAUUUGGAUCCCCAGUUCUUCGGCAUAUCUCACAGAUUCUGCAAGAUGGACAGGUCCAUGAACUCCAGUGAAAUAAAUCUCUAUGUUGAGCCCAUGCUUUCAAACAGCUUCUAUGGUACUUCUUGCCACAACUUUUGCAGGAAAGCAUCCUCCUUGCCCUCUCACUUCCUUCAGUUUCACCCAAAAAGCACAUUCGGCACAUUAUAUUCGCGUUAGACAGACCUUGCUCAUCUCCAGCAGUAUCUUUUGAGGCAACCGCCAUAUCACCAGACUCAAACCGGCGGGCAUAAUCCUCAGCAGCAACCAUAGCAGCUGCCGCCUUUCUCUGAAGCGCGACCCGCUUAGUCUGAGCCGAAGCCUCCUCUCCCAAUUCACUACCGCCACCAGCACUACCUCCUCCUCCCCCUCCAUCUCCAGCCGCAACAACACCAAACGUCGGCGCAGGAGCCGCGGGGACCGGCGCGACCUUAGGAACAAGAACCUGAACAGUGGACUUCUUAGAAUCCCUAAUUCCCAAAGGAUCCUUGAAAAACUCCUCGAUUCUCGAAACGUCAAGCAAGAAGUCGGCCUUGGAUUUGGCGCUGUGGAGAUCCUGCGGAAACCCUAGCGGGCAGAAGCAGAUUCGGCGACAUGUAAUUGGGCAAGCUACGUGAAAGGCCAUAGUGAAGGGAUUUUGAAUUUUUUGAGUUUUAGAGAGAGGGAUUUAGAGAUCGCUCCUUUAAAAAAAUUAAUAAUAAUAAAAAUUAAAAUUAAACUUCGGACUUUAUUUUCUCUUUUUUUUUAAGUGAAAGUGAUUUUUUUUUUUUUUUAAGGGGAAAAUAAGAGGCUGUGACUGUGCAGAUCUAUUCUCUGUUCCUUAUGGUUGAUGGUUG
This 3481-nucleotide unclassified non-coding RNA is filed under the name Hevea brasiliensis (rubber tree). Lineage: Eukaryota; Viridiplantae; Streptophyta; Magnoliopsida; Malpighiales; Euphorbiaceae. The record is from RNAcentral.